Molecule: ribosomal RNA, 506 nt
Filed under: uncultured bacterium
Lineage: Bacteria
Description: partial 16S ribosomal RNA
Rfam family: Bacterial small subunit ribosomal RNA
Source: RNAcentral
AUUGAACGCUGGCGGUAUGCUUAACACAUGCAAGUCGAACGGCAGCAUGGUCUAGCUUGCUAGACUGAUGGCGAGUGGCGGACGGGUGAGUAACGCGUAGGAAUAUGCCUUGAAGAGUGGGACAACUUGGGGAAACUCAAGCUAAUACCGCAUGUACUCGAGAGAGUAAAGCUGAGGACCUUCAGGCCUGGCGCUUUAAGAUUAGCCUGCGUCCGAUUAGCUAGUUGGUAGGGUAAAGGCCUACCAAGGCGACGAUCGGUAGCUGGUCCGAGAGGAUGAUCAGCCACACUUGAACGGAGAGACGGUCCAGACUCCGACGGGACGCAGCAGUGGGGAAUAUUGGGCAAUGGGGGGAACCCUGAUCCAGCAAUGCCGCGUGUGUGAAGAAGGCCUGAGGGUUGUAAAGCACUUUCAGUGGGGAGGAGGUUUGGAAGGUUAAGAGCUAUUCAAAUGGACGUUACCCACAGAAGAAGCACCGGCUAACUCCGUGCCAGCCGCCGCCGUAA